This is a long non-coding RNA of Podarcis muralis (Common wall lizard), 1703 nucleotides long. RefSeq lists it as uncharacterized. The record is from RefSeq and is a predicted model, not a curated record. NCBI's taxonomy places the organism in Eukaryota, Metazoa, Chordata, Lepidosauria, Squamata, Lacertidae.
CUGGUUUUUCCUUGCUAGACAGGGGCAGAGAGAAGUCGACUUUGGCGCUGCUGCGACAUCCGAGCUUCAAAUAAUGCAGGGCUGUUUCUGGAAGAAAGAAAAGCCGUGUUAUGACAGCGCCAGAUGAUUGACACGUUACAGGUUCAUCUGCGCCCGGGUCCGAGGAGGCAGCAAAGGAGCCGCAAAGUUCAAAGGCUUUGGUUGCAAAUUAACAGGACAUGUGGACACAAAAUGAAGCUGAAUGCUGGAAGAUUCAGGACAGGAAAAAAGAAAAACAUUUCUUUACACAGCGCAGAGUUAAACUAUGGAACUCGUUGCUGCAAGUGUCGGUGAUGUGGUUAUAAGCAAACAGAGAAAGCAUCAAGUUGUUAGUUGGCUGCGACCCAUCUGUCUCAGGAGAUAGUGGAAGGGUACGUCUGAUUGACUUUCAUCCGCCCUCAAAUUUAGUGGCCAGCCCCUGUACCUAUGCCUUUAACAGCAGCUUCAGCAGCGGCCAUGAACAGAAAAGGGUUUCAUUUCCAUACCGUGGAAAAGCUUCACCAGUUCAUUGCUCCCAGUCAUAAGAACAAGAGCCACUUUGCUCCCAGUCAUAAGAACACAGGGAGCUGCCUUAUAUACCAUGUCAAAGAACUGGUCCAUCCACCGCAAUAUUGCUGACACUGGCUGGCAGCAUCUAUCUACAAUUUCAGGCAGGGGACAUUCCCAACCCUACCUGGAGAGGCCAGGAAUUGAACUUUCUGCAUUCAAAGCAGAUGCUCAACCGCUGAACUUCAGCCCUUCCCUAAGUCCACAGGGAAAUUCCUCCCUCCCCCUUUCGCUUAGUUAACAAAGAUGUCCUUUAAUAGCAAAGUCCUUUUUCUGCAUAGUGGCGGACCCCUCCAGCCGGUGGCAUUCAAUUAUCAGAGUUACAAGUCUGUGGGCCAAUUAGCAGAGAGUGCAGUCCCUGCCUGAGCUGGGUACUGUUGUCAGCCGGUGACCUUGCAAGCAGCUUCUCUUCCUCCCUCCGGACAAGUUUGCAUUAAUCCACAAGCCGCAUUAAUUGUGGCAGUAACUCCUUUGGCCUUUCGCUUCCCGGGGAGCAGCUGGAGAAAGGGAGGGGGUGCGCAGAGCAAGAGAGCACAGAAUCGAUGUAACUUGAGCAGCACCUUGACUUCCUUAUCAGCUGCGGAGUCCCAGUGUCGUGUCACUUAAAGCGCUGCUAUUGACUUACUCUCCAAAGGGCUGAUCAGAUUCCACCAUCCUCCCACCGGCCGAUCCCAAGCACACCAGCAUUAGCCAUUAUGCCCAGCAUGGGAUGGUGGUGAAUCUCACCCCAGUGGCGUUGCAUCCUUUGCCGGUGCCCGGGGCACACACUCGUGUGCUGGGCAGGACCAGGGGCAGGGCAUGAAGGGCGAAGAUAACCCGCCACACCAGCCCUUGUUGCAGACACUGCCAGGUGGGCGCAGGGAACAGAGGGUCCAUGGGUAUGUGCAGCACCGCCUGCCCAUCCGCCAGCGCAGGGGGGAGCCCAGCCCGCCAACAUGGCCCUUAGUGGGCACAUCCCCCAACACUGGCUGGGCGGCCAUUCAGUGAGGGGGCCUACCAUACAGGGCUAUGGUUUAUGUUUGUUGUUCUACUCACGGCCUAGGAUCCUCGUACCUACGGGACUGCCUCUCCCGGUAUGCCCCACGGAGAGCCUCAAGGUCCAUAAAUAGCAACACCCU